This 76-nucleotide transfer RNA is filed under the name Clostridium sp. CAG:715. RNAcentral describes it as "transfer RNA-Val(GAC)". It matches the Rfam family "tRNA". Rfam says of the family: Transfer RNA (tRNA) molecules are approximately 80 nucleotides in length. Their secondary structure includes four short double-helical elements and three loops (D, anti-codon, and T loops). Further hydrogen bonds mediate the characteristic L-shaped molecular structure. tRNAs have two regions of fundamental functional importance: the anti-codon, which is responsible for specific mRNA codon recognition, and the 3' end, to which the tRNAs corresponding amino acid is attached (by aminoacyl-tRNA synthetases). tRNAs cope with the degeneracy of the genetic code in two manners: having more than one tRNA (with a specific anti-codon) for a particular amino acid; and 'wobble' base-pairing, i.e. permitting non-standard base-pairing at the 3rd anti-codon position. Lineage: Bacteria; Bacillati; Bacillota; Clostridia; Eubacteriales; Clostridiaceae. The record is from RNAcentral. RNAcentral also lists the same sequence under 3 other names.
GGGCGAUUGGCACAGUUGGUAGCGCGCCACAUUGACGUUGUGGAGGUCAUGUGUUCGAGUCACAUAUCGCCCACCA